Molecule: ribosomal RNA, 508 nt
Filed under: uncultured bacterium
Lineage: Bacteria
Description: partial 16S ribosomal RNA
Rfam family: Bacterial small subunit ribosomal RNA
Source: RNAcentral
GAUGAACGCUAGCUACAGGCUUAACACAUGCAAGUCGAGGGGAAACGACAUCGAAAGCUUGCUUUUGAUGGGCGUCGACCGGCGCACGGGUGAGUAACGCGUAUCCAACCUGCCCACCACUUGGGGAUAGCCUUGCGAAAGUAAGACUAAUACCCAAUGAUAUCUCUAGAAGACAUCUGAAAGAGAUUAAAGAUUUAUCGGUGAUGGAUGGGGAUGCGUCUGAUUAGCUUGUCGGCGGGGUAACGGCCCACCAAGGCUACGAUCAGUAGGGGUUCUGAGAGGAAGGUCCCCCACAUUGGAACUGAGACACGGUCCAAACUCCUACGGGAGGCAGCAGUGAGGAAUAUUGGUCAAUGGACGGGAGUCUGAACCAGCCAAGUAGCGUGCAGGAUGACGGCCCUAUGGGUUGUAAACUGCUUUUAUAAGGGAAUAAAGUGAGUCUCGUGAGACUUUUUGCAUGUACCUUAUGAAUAAGGACCGGCUAAUUCCGUGCCAGCCGCCGCAGUAA